CCGUCGGCUUCCGUGACCCGAACCCUCCGCAUGUUCGCUGACACAAUCCAGGCAGGUGAGCACCGGCAUUUGGGAUUAGGUUAGGGCUAGCUCCGCGCCGCCUCGCUGGCGUAUGAGGUUAGGUAGGUGAGGACUAAGCCAACGAAGGUUUUUUUCAGGGCUAACCUCCGCGUCGCCCUCGCUGGCGUAGCUUAGGUAGGUGAGGUCUAGGCUCCGCGUCUCUCCUAGGUUACGUAGGUCAGACAGGGCUAAGUUCCACGCCACCUGGCUGGUGCAGCUUAGGUAGGUCGGGCCUAAGCUCCGCGUCUCUACCGGUUAAGUAGUUAGGCACUUAGCGGCAGGCCGACCAGCAGAGAACUUUGACGAUGGCACCCAAACUUCCUUCAUUAGUGAGAAGUCAAAGAGAGGUCGGUAAGUACCACCUACUACACGCGGGGAACGACAGUAAUUACCUACGGACCGAGAAACAAAGAGUAAGAAGGCUACACAUAUAUACGAAGGAGAUGCGAGUGAGAAGAUUGAGGCCGCUGUCUUGUAGGUAGUCGUACCACGAGAAGAUCCAUAACAAGUUUGACCCUCUACCAGCUAACAAAACCGGUCUAUAACCUUUGACCAAGAGCGUAGAAAAAAAAGACUUUAAGAAGUCCACUAUCAAGAUUACCGAAGACCUGUCUAAUUUACCUUGUCACAUCAAUAUACGCGUUUUCUUACAUCGGUAUGACAAUAUCUCCCCCCCACUUCGGAGUCAUAGAAGAAGAUACGUCUUCACUCGUUUCGGGUUAUUAGAAUGGCUAUAAACUUUCAUACACACACCUAAAAGUUCUGUGCCACGUCCGAAACAACGUAGUAAGGUUCAUAUUCCGUUCUAUGUGAACCAAGUCAGACCCCCGUCACUACAGUCGUUUAGCAACCUUCUCUAGUCCUCCUCGAUAAAAUCAAUGCUGGACUCCGUGUUGCUCGUCCUCCUCAACCGGUUGACCUCACGAUCUAAGUCCCGUUCAAACGGAUUCGUGAAAAUAAUCAAGGCAACUAUUAUGGUCCUGACCUCUUGACUUUCGGGAACAUCUACGUUCUCCUUGUUCUAACUGUUGCCGGAAAACGUAACGUGAGAACUAUUUCGAAGUUCGAGUUCCGGAAGCUAUAAACACUUCAAAAGGUCCUUCUUCUAACUGAUAUCGUAGAACCUCACGUGAUUAUAAUUAUUUAUUUGGGAAGUUAUAAAAACAGCGGGUUUCCGAUGUUCAAGACAUUAAAUGGGGUUUAUGAAUCGUAAAAGAGAUUGGUUUAUACUCACAUUACAAAGUCUAGUAUAUAAGGGUCAUAAUAAUUCUGUAGUACAUA
Molecule: ribosomal RNA, 1341 nt
Filed under: Triticum aestivum (bread wheat)
Lineage: Eukaryota; Viridiplantae; Streptophyta; Magnoliopsida; Poales; Poaceae
Description: partial small subunit ribosomal RNA
Source: RNAcentral